UAUGGAUGGUUGAGAUUCGUUCACCCAGUUGUCACAGGAAACUCGGCACGGGCUCAACCGGUAACCCAAAAGACCAAUAGCCCGUAGUAGAGAGAGAGAGAGAGUUUUUUGGAGGAGAGAGAUGGCACGCACAGCAGAUAAACCAGUGAGAGAGAAAAAGAGUACGCAAAUGUAAAAGUGGGAGAGAGGGGGCUUCUUGGAGGAGAGAGAGAGCACGCAGAGCAGACAAAUUAGUGAUAUAGAAAGAGAGAGCAUGCAGUGUACAGUGCAGAGAAACCGGAUUGAAGAAGCUUUGUUUGUUGAUGAAGUAAUACAGAGGUCCCAGUUUCAGAUUGCAUAUACCCAAGCCUCAGAUUUAUCUCUCAGGUCCGACGUAGAAAUUCCCACAAUAGAGCCCGAAGCUGAGCAAAACAAUAUGAAGACUUCGCUACGUGUGGUCCCAUCGUAAGAAAUAAGAAGGUGCCAUUUGUGGUAAAGCCAAAGGAGUUUUAUCCUGCUGUUAGGCUCCUUUGCACCACCCGAAAGCUGCAAAAAAAAAAAAA
Long non-coding RNA from Amborella trichopoda, 542 nucleotides. RefSeq lists it as uncharacterized. The record is from RefSeq and is a predicted model, not a curated record. NCBI's taxonomy places the organism in Eukaryota, Viridiplantae, Streptophyta, Magnoliopsida, Amborellales, Amborellaceae.